Molecule: small RNA, 59 nt
Organism: Gordonia soli NBRC 108243
Lineage: Bacteria; Bacillati; Actinomycetota; Actinomycetes; Mycobacteriales; Gordoniaceae
Rfam family: F6 TB sRNA
Source: Rfam
GGGAUAGCUCCGACUGAGCUGCCAGACCCCCGACCCGGCAGCUCGGUCGGAGCGUUUCU